This 429-nucleotide ribosomal RNA is filed under the name bacterium. RNAcentral describes it as "partial 16S ribosomal RNA". It matches the Rfam family "Bacterial small subunit ribosomal RNA", at positions 355 to 776 of the family's 1533-position model. RNAcentral also lists the same sequence under 8 other names. The record is from RNAcentral.
UAGGGAAUCUUCGGCAAUGGACGAAAGUCUGACCGAGCAACGCCGCGUGAGUGAAGAAGGUUUUCGGAUCGUAAAACUCUGUUGUUAGAGAAGAACAAGGACGUUAGUAACUGAACGUCCCCUGACGGUAUCUAACCAGAAAGCCACGGCUAACUACGUGCCAGCAGCCGCGGUAAUACGUAGGUGGCAAGCGUUGUCCGGAUUUAUUGGGCGUAAAGCGAGCGCAGGCGGUUUCUUAAGUCUGAUGUGAAAGCCCCCGGCUCAACCGGGGAGGGUCAUUGGAAACUGGGAGACUUGAGUGCAGAAGAGGAGAGUGGAAUUCCAUGUGUAGCGGUGAAAUGCGUAGAUAUAUGGAGGAACACCAGUGGCGAAGGCGGCUCUCUGGUCUGUAACUGACGCUGAGGCUCGAAAGCGUGGGGAGCAAACAGG